UCUGAGAGUGGCAGAAAAGUGCCAUGAACUUAAAAUUCAUUCAUAAAUAAAUUUCCUUAGAA
RNAcentral lists this transfer RNA (62 nucleotides) under Raivuna sinica. Its description in RNAcentral is "tRNA-Leu". The record is from RNAcentral. Lineage: Eukaryota; Metazoa; Arthropoda; Insecta; Hemiptera; Dictyopharidae.